UUACGGCCAUAUCACGCAUCAACACUGUUUCCUGUACGAUCACCGAAGUUAAGCAACGUCGAACCAGGUCAGUACUUAGAUGGCUGACAGAUUGGGAAUCCCAGGUGCU
Molecule: non-coding RNA, 109 nt
Organism: Acanthosepion pharaonis
Lineage: Eukaryota; Metazoa; Mollusca; Cephalopoda; Sepiida; Sepiidae
Source: the annotation of a GenBank genome assembly